Long non-coding RNA from Mauremys reevesii (Reeves's turtle), 1267 nucleotides. RefSeq lists it as uncharacterized. Lineage: Eukaryota; Metazoa; Chordata; Testudines; Geoemydidae. The transcript is spliced from 4 exons. The record is from RefSeq and is a predicted model, not a curated record.
GCCGAGUUUACCAUUUGAAAACCAACAUUAUGACACUUGCAGAGUUACAUUGGAAGAGGCUUUCCAAGAAGCAGAUAAAUAGAGAAAAAUUGCCACUAACAAGGAGAAAGAGCUUUCAACUGAUACCAAACUCAACCGAUUUCCGGUGAAACUGUACUAUCAAGAUAUCCACCAAUCAGAGGACCUGGAGCUGGAGGCAGCAAGGGGGAAGUGAGUCCUUGCUGUCAUGCCACAGAGGAUAAAAGACCAAAGCCCUCCAGACAUUCAGAGAAUGUGGUCUUCUCUCCUCUUCUGAGGCAUGUGGUUUAGGAAAAGAUACAGGAGUGACACAAUAAAAAGGAGCUGAGAACACCAAAAAUUCUGAUGCAAACCAUGUGGUGGUAAGAAGGAACUGGAAAGGCUUUGGCCCACAUCGCCCUUUAUGACCUUGGUUGGGAGCAUAAGGAGAGCUACUGCACGUGUGCAAGCCAAUGGACAAUGCCUACAAGAAAUUCCGGACACAGGCGCAUGAUGCACAUGCAUAUCCCACAUAUGGAUACACAUAGGGAUCAUCACUCAAAGAAGAAUCAUGAUACCAAAAAAAGAAAAUCCUCACGAUUUUUAAGCGAGUUGUAUUACUUUUUUAGUCUGGUACCUGACUUUUGACUUUUUAGGGGGAAUUUCCCCUUUGUGUAGGAGCAUUUCAGAAAAAGGUCAUCCUGAAAUGCACAAUCUGGGAGACGUCCUCUUCUUUUUACUUCUGGUUGAUAGGCAGGACACUUCAAUAUCAUCCUUUUCCUAGGCACUGAUCUCAGCUCUCUCUUCUGUGCCUUACACCCUGCAGCCCUCUCUAAUAGGCACUAACCCCAAUCUUACUGUACUUUCUCUAGGCACUGCCCCAUCUAGCUCCCACCCAUUGACACAGUCUCCCGCCGCUGUAACUGGCUGAUGGCCCUGCCAUUUCCCUGGAUGCUGCCCUGUUCUAGGAGAGUGAAGUCAAGCUGGGGCUGACUCCCAGAAGGUUGAAGAAGAGGAAGACACUCCUGGGAUACUUUCACAACCCCACCCCUUCACCUCCUUAGGGCUGAACAAAGGAACAGGAUGGGAAAGAGCUACCCCCCAAGCUAGCACCCUCAGCACUUUCUCAGCUCCAUGGGCUGCUCUUCCCAUCCUAACCCAGGUAGCACAUGCAGGAAAGCAGAGAAGUCCUGCUUCAGUUACUCCAUUUUAAUUCACAUAAUUAUUUCAAGACUGAGACUUAAGACAGUUCCUAUAAUGAACUUUAGAA